This 340-nucleotide RNase P RNA is filed under the name Clostridia bacterium. RNAcentral describes it as "RNase P RNA component class A". It matches the Rfam family "Bacterial RNase P class A". Rfam says of the family: Ribonuclease P (RNase P) is a ubiquitous endoribonuclease, found in archaea, bacteria and eukarya as well as chloroplasts and mitochondria. The record is from RNAcentral. Lineage: Bacteria; Bacillati; Bacillota; Clostridia.
UGAGUAGAUUAAGUAAUCGCAUACAAAUUCAUUUUGUAUGAGGAAAGUCCGAGCUCCACAGAGCAAACUAACGGUUAACGACCGCCGAGGGCGACCUCAGGGAAAGUGCAACAGAGAUAUACCGCUCGGGUGACCGAGUAAGGGUGGAAAGGCGAGGUAAGAGCUCACCGGUGUAUGGGAGACCAUGCAGCCAUGCAAACCCUAGUUGGAGCAACACCGUUUGGUAAAAAUAUACGCUUGCUCGGCGUUAAAUAUAGGUGGCACCGAACUACUGCGGCAACGCUUAGUCCAGAUAGAUGAUUACUCACGACAGAAUUCGGCUUAUCGAUCUACUCUUUCA